GAUGAAGAACGCAGCGAAAUGCGAUAAGUAAUGUGAAUUGCAGAAUUCAGUGAAUCAUCGAAUCUUUGAACGCACAUUGCGCCCGCCAGUAUUCUGGCGGGCAUGCCUGUUCGAGCGUCAUUACAACCCUCAGGCCCCCGGGCCUGGCGUUGGGGAUCGGCGGAGCCCCCCGUGGGCACACGCCGUCCCCCAAAUACAGUGGCGGUCCCGCCGCAGCUUCCAUCGCGUAGUAGCUAACACCUCGCGACUGGAGAGCGGCGCGGCCACGCCGUAAAACACCCAACUCUUCUGAAGUUGACCUCGAAUCAGGUAGGAAUACCCGCUGAACUUAAGCAUAUCAAUAAGGGAGGA
This 351-nucleotide unclassified non-coding RNA is filed under the name soil metagenome. Its description in RNAcentral is "partial contains 5.8S ribosomal RNA, internal transcribed spacer 2, and large subunit ribosomal RNA". The stretch from base 1 to 120 matches the Rfam family "5.8S ribosomal RNA", at positions 35 to 154 of the family's 154-position model. The record is from RNAcentral.